Molecule: ribosomal RNA, 373 nt
Filed under: uncultured organism
Description: partial 16S ribosomal RNA
Rfam family: Bacterial small subunit ribosomal RNA
Source: RNAcentral
GUAGGUGGCAAGCGUUGUCCGGAAUUAUUGGGCGUAAAGCGCGCGCAGGCGGUCCUUUAAGUCUGAUGUGAAAGCCCACGGCUCAACCGUGGAGGGUCAUUGGAAACUGGGGGACUUGAGUACAGAAGAGGAAAGCGGGAUUCCAAGUGUAGCGGUGAAAUGCGUAGAGAUUGGAGGAACACCAGUGGCGAAGGCGGCUUUCUGGUCUGUAACUGACGCUGAGGCGCGAAAGCGUGGGGAGCAAACAGGGAUUAGAUACCCUGGUAGUCCACGCCGUAAACGAUGAGUGCUAAGUGUUAGGGGGGUUUCCGCCCCCUUAGUGCUGCAGCUAACGCAUUAAGCACUCCGCCUGGGGAGUACGGCCGCAAGGCUG